GUCAGAUUGAGCUGCCAGGAAUGCACAUGAUAUAUCUUCCCCACGCUGAAGACAUCAGACAUGUUAAAGAGCUUUAUUCAGAUUCUAAUGGUGCUGCACCAAAAGCAAUUGAUGAUCAAAUUGAGAAGGCUACUGCUUUAAUGGAACGUAUCAAUUUGAAAGAUUUUUCAGUAUGCCAAUGUUGCAUAAUUGCAUUGCACUUCUGUAACUUUAAAAAAGAGAAUAAUACUCAAGGUUUAGUAUUUUAUUUCCUAACAGCUGGUUGUCAUGUAUACCUUUCAGGUCUUGAUUUAUAUUGAAUAUCACUUUAAAGGAAAUUCUCGUUGUUCUAAUAACUGUGUUAGACCUGCCGGUCUUAUCAGUUCAAAUAUGAACAAGGAUCCAUACUAGUCCACACCACAAACGGAAUUUCUUAUUGAAAUUUGUGAAAAUCAAAGGACUAGAGGUUCAACCGCCAAAACUAGUUUUGAUCCCGAGCUUAGGAAACCAUGGGAAUGGUGGAAGGUCAAGAAAUGGACGAUUCACAUUUUAUGUAGGCUGUACACUUGGUAAGUUCCUAUAUUUGAAACAUAUUAAAAUAAGUAUGAGGCUUGCAGCAGGAGGCAUUUUGACUUUUCAUUGCCAUUUAAAGUCUUAUUUUACUCAUGUUUGUAGAUUUGAACCAUCAAAACCCAGAAAACAAAGCUUUUGCUCAAAUGUUUCAUUAGAAAUAUGUUGGAAAGAUCUUGGAGUGUCACAUAAAUUUGCUUACUGUGAUUCGUGUUGGUGGCUAUUUACCCGAUAGAGUUAUCAACCUUAUUCUUCAGUACAUAAGCAACAGAAUGAUACGAUCAUAGCUUUGUAAGGCUCAUAGAGGACCAGUUCAUCUUACACCACACUUCCAAGCUAAGAGCAUUGUUACACUUAUGCAUUUAGCUACAGUGCCAAUCUUGAACUCAAUGGAGCUCUUUCCCAAAAGUUCUCAAAAGCAAUUGGCAAAAAUGAGGAUGACUCUGAAAACCCCUGGUAUGAAUAGAUAUGAGAGUUGGAUAUUCUGAUGGUUCUUGGGGAAUCUGCGGAGUUCUCUUCUUCAAAAGGACUUCAAGGCAUGAUGAUUUCAGGUUUAUCGAUGACAUAAAAGAUCAGUGUGACUAACAUGUUAAAAUUGAACUGGUUACUUCAAAUUAUGAAAGACAACAUCUUUGUUCUUUUUCACGUUGGUAUGUAAGUAAAAGGCAUCAUUUUCUAUGAGAUAUGCUGCAAAUAUUAUGUCCUUAACAAUUGUUUGGUCUUGUUAAUGUUUUAGGCACUGCACUGUAAAUGUGAUUUAAUUCAUAUCUAACCUUCUACCCAGCGGGAUUUUAUUUCAGAAAUAUGCUGAUACUAAAAUGGAGCCAACAUUUUCAAUUUUUAGUCUAGUUUUGUUGAUUGUUUCCAUAUAAAAUAUGUUUUGUUUUCAG
This is a long non-coding RNA of Quercus lobata, 1439 nucleotides long. RefSeq lists it as uncharacterized. NCBI's taxonomy places the organism in Eukaryota, Viridiplantae, Streptophyta, Magnoliopsida, Fagales, Fagaceae. The transcript is spliced from 3 exons. The record is from RefSeq and is a predicted model, not a curated record.